GGGAGCAUCUCCCUGUCGAACAACGGGACUGAGAUGGGAAAAGCACUUCUCGAGUGGUCCGUAAAAAUGUUUCAAGUGUAUUCAUACAAAACAGCACCAUUUUCUAAGAACAUGCCUUAUAAACGGUAUUCAAACCAGUUGAAUAAACAUGAGCUGAAAUGCCUUAUGGUGUUUAAACAAAGCAUUUCAGCUUCAUAUCUUAAAGGUGACACCAUCAUUGUGUUACAGUGGAAGAAUCACUAUGAGAGCAAACACCUGGAAAACUCAUUCCACAAUGAGCGCAACACAGCUGCUUUGAGAAAACGACUCAUUCCUCCCAGCAAUACUUUAGUCCUGAUGACCACAUGUUCCACCUGGAAGAACCUGCAUGUGCUCAGAACGGCUGUGAUUCAUCAUCAUCUAUCUGUACUGUAUAAGCACUGGCUGCUCUGGAGGCAGGUGUGUUCGAGGCGGUUCUUGAGAAGUCACCAGGAGUGGUGGUCAUGUGUUUGGUGGGACAGGAGACUCCAGAGCAAAGCCUGGACCCUGUGGACAUUAACCAGGCAGAGGACACAGCUGGCCGCACAUCAGUACAGGUACAGACAAACUGACUCUGUGUCCAGCAGAUAUCAAUGCAGUGUGUUUUCUCAGAUUUUGCUAAAUCUUAUAGAUGAGAUGUGUGCCUUUCGUUUUGUCUUUGUAGGAUGCAUUUGUUAUCAUCACAAUGGAAGGACUGGAAGAUCAGGAACAGUCAGAAGAAGACGGAGAAGUUGAUUCAGUCCAUUCAGAGGAGCAACCUUCUUCACUCCUUCCAUCUCUGGAAGAAAAGAGCAGAAGCCUGUCAAAAAGACAGAGAAAAACAGUUGGUUUUGAGCCGGUAAGAGUCAAUCUGUCUCUCACGUCAUCACCGUGUGUGUCUCCCGUAUGGCUGAUUUUCUACCAUGAAACACCGGAGGCACCAACAUUGUCAGAAAAAAAAAAAAGUGUCAUUAGGGGUACAACUUUAUUGUUUAUCUCAACAGGAAACAGAGUACAAACUAAAAGUCUAAAACAAGACAAAAAAACAAAGACACAUUACAGUCAGUUGCAUCAGUAAAAAAUUAUUUUAAAAAGUCUCACUGGUUGUCACUGGAGCGGUACCUUUUCAAAAGG
Molecule: long non-coding RNA, 1131 nt
Organism: Cyprinus carpio (common carp)
Lineage: Eukaryota; Metazoa; Chordata; Actinopteri; Cypriniformes; Cyprinidae
Source: Ensembl